This 479-nucleotide ribosomal RNA is filed under the name Bacillus stratosphericus. Its description in RNAcentral is "bacterial SSU rRNA". It matches the Rfam family "Bacterial small subunit ribosomal RNA", at positions 1 to 479 of the family's 1533-position model. Lineage: Bacteria; Bacillati; Bacillota; Bacilli; Caryophanales; Bacillaceae. The record is from RNAcentral.
UAGAGUUUGAUCCAUGGCUCAGGACGAACGCUGGCGGCGUGCCUAAUACAUGCAAGUCGAGCGGACAGAAGGGAGCUUGCUCCCGGAUGUUAGCGGCGGACGGGUGAGUAACACGUGGGUAACCUGCCUGUAAGACUGGGAUAACUCCGGGAAACCGGAGCUAAUACCGGAUAGUUCCUUGAACCGCAUGGUUCAAGGAUGAAAGACGGUUUCGGCUGUCACUUACAGAUGGACCCGCGGCGCAUUAGCUAGUUGGUGAGGUAACGGCUCACCAAGGCGACGAUGCGUAGCCGACCUGAGAGGGUGAUCGGCCACACUGGGACUGAGACACGGCCCAGACUCCUACGGGAGGCAGCAGUAGGGAAUCUUCCGCAAUGGACGAAAGUCUGACGGAGCAACGCCGCGUGAGUGAUGAAGGUUUUCGGAUCGUAAAGCUCUGUUGUUAGGGAAGAACAAGUGCAAGAGUAACUGCUUGCACC